This 413-nucleotide ribosomal RNA is filed under the name Bathynectes longispina. Its description in RNAcentral is "SSU rRNA". It matches the Rfam family "Eukaryotic small subunit ribosomal RNA", at positions 304 to 713 of the family's 1831-position model. Lineage: Eukaryota; Metazoa; Arthropoda; Malacostraca; Decapoda; Polybiidae. The record is from RNAcentral.
UGUCUGCCUUAUCAGCUUUCGAUUGUAGGCUAUGCGCCUACAAUGGCUAUAACGGUAACGGGGAAGUCAGGGUUCGGAUUCCGGAGAGGGAGGCCUGAGAAACGGCUACCACAUCUAAGGAAGGCAGCAGGCACGCAAAUUACCCACUCCCGGCACGGGGAGGUAGUGACGAAAAAUAACGAUGCGAGACUCAUCCGAGGCCUCGCAAUCGGAAUGAGUACACUUUAAAUCCUUUAACGAGGAUCUAUUGGAGGGCAAGUCUGGUGCCAGCAGCCGCGGUAAUUCCAGCUCCAAUAGCGUAUAUUAAAGUUGUUGCGGUUAAAAAGCUCGUAGUUGGAUUUCAGUUCUGGACUGACGGUUCACCGCCCGGUGCACACUGUCACGCUCCGAACNGCCACACAGCCCGCUGGCUC